CUAUAUAGUGUUACCAAUGGUGUGUUUGGUGACAGUGGUCCCAACUGCCUUGAGAUCAUUCACAAGCUCCUCCCCCUCAUCCAGUCAU
Molecule: long non-coding RNA, 88 nt
Organism: Nanorana parkeri
Lineage: Eukaryota; Metazoa; Chordata; Amphibia; Anura; Dicroglossidae
Exons: 3
Source: RefSeq, a predicted model, not a curated record